Molecule: long non-coding RNA, 1713 nt
Filed under: Marmota monax (woodchuck)
Lineage: Eukaryota; Metazoa; Chordata; Mammalia; Rodentia; Sciuridae
Source: RNAcentral
AUUUUGGCAAUUGUACACAAAUGGAGUACAAUUUCUCCUUCCUCUGGCUGUACAUGGUGCAGAGUCACACUGGUAGUGUAAUCAUACAUGUAUAUAGGGUGAUGUCUGUCUCCAUUCCACCAUCCUUCUCAUCCCCGCACCCCCUCCCCUCACUGUCACUCCCCUCUACACAAUCCAAAAUUCCUUCACUCUUCCCCACUCACCCCCACACACCUGAUAAGCAUCUGCUUAUCAGAGAAAACAUUUGGCCUUUGGUUUUUGGGGUUUGGCUUAUUUCGCUUAGCAUGGUAUUCUCCAGCUCCAUCCAUUUACCUGCAAAUGUCAUAAUUUAAUUCUUCUUUAAAGCUCAGUAAUAUUCCAUUGUGUAUAUGUAACACAUUUUCUUUAUCCAUUCAUCUAUUGAAGGGCAUCUAGGUUGGUUCCAUAGUUCUAGUUAUUGUGAAUUGAGCUACUAUAAACAUUGAUGUAGCUAUAGUAUGCUGAUUUUAAGUUCUCUGUAUAAACCAAGGAGUGGGAUAACUGGGUCAAAUGGUGGUUCCAUUCCAUUCAUACUGCUUUCCAUAGUGGUUGUACCAAUUUGCCAUUAAGUCAGUUAAUUUAAGCAAAGGCAUAGAGGGUGGGAAGCUAGAAGAAAAUUCAGUGUGACGAUGCUUAAUGGGACUUUGGAAGUGAUGAGGUUGGAAAGAGAUUUGAAGCCAUUAUGCCAAGGGCCUUCCCUGCCGAAUCUGGACUUUAUCCUUCAGGUCCUGGGAAUCCAGUGGGAAGAUGGCAUGCUCUACUGUUUUGGAAAGCAAAUGUGGCUGUGUGUGUGUGGGGGGAAGCAGGUGGGAAAUGCCCAGCUCUUGAACCUCCUCCCCUGGUUUUGCCUCAAGGGGCUCUGACUUGAAAUACUUUUGUCAGGGAACACAAUUGGGCUGAUCAUUAUUAAUUAAUUUGUUUUUCAGAUCAGUGGUUUACCUCUACUUAAAAGACAACAAUAACGCCCCCUCUUUGUUCAAUUCCUUCAGUGAGAAAGAAUAUCAAUGGUCAAUCUUAUUCAGACACAGGAACCACACCUGGAGGCUAACCAUAGACAUAUUCAUGAGCACUGGCAUGGCCUAUUUCCAAUGUAGAAGACCUUGAGGCUCUCUGUGGGAACACUUCCAGCCAACUGCUUUGUCCCAGAUAUGGAAAACUCAAGGUGGGGUGAACCCAGAUGGAAGUUAUAUGAGGGAAGGUGGGGGUGAACUUGGAUGGAAAGGAGGACUAUAUAUAGCCUUAAUACUUUACAAUGCGUGGUGUUUAACAUACAUGUUGCUCCAUGCUCUGCCCAGAACUAUAUAUAAACUCCUAAGCUGGCACAUUAAAAUGGAUUUUUCUGCUAUCAGGCCCCCUCCUGCAUCGUGGGAGUCCUAGCUCUUGCUUAAAUAAAUCCUGCUCCAUUUACUCUUCCCUUUGGUGAUUGCGUGUGGAUUUUAUUCUUUUUUUGUGUGUGGGGGGGUACUGCAGAUUAAACUCAGGGGCACUUGACCACUGAGCCACAUCCCCAGCCCUGUUUUUUAUUUUAUUUAGAGACAGGGUCUCACUGAGUUGCUUAGCACCUCACUUUUGCUGGGAUGGGCUUUGAACUCUCGAUUCUCCUGUCUCAGCCUCCUGAACUGUUGGAAUUAUAGACAAGUGCCCCUGCGCCUGCAUUGGAGUUUAUUCAUGAAAAUUUGUGAGACAGGAACCCAG